CCAGCUUGCUGGGUGGAUUAGUGGCGAACGGGUGAGUAACACGUGAGUAACCUGCCCUUAACUCUGGGAUAAGCCUGGGAAACUAGGUCUAAUACCGGAUAGGAGCGCCUACCGCAUGGUGGGUGUUGGAAAGAUUUAUCGGUUUUGGAUGGACUCGCGGCCUAUCAGCUUGUUGGUGAGGUAAUGGCUCACCAAGGCGACGACGGGUAGCCGGCCUGAGAGGGUGACCGGCCACACUGGGACUGAGACACGGCCCAGACUCCUACGGGAGGCAGCAGUGGGGAAUAUUGCACAAUGGGCGAAAGCCUGAUGCAGCGACGCCGCGUGAGGGAUGACGGCCUUCGGGUUGUAAACCUCUUUCAGUAGGGAAGAAGCGAAAGUGACGGUACCUGCAGAAGAAGCACCGGCUAACUACGUGCCAGCAGCCGCGGUAAUACGUAGGGUGCGAGCGUUAUCCGGAAUUAUUGGGCGUAAAGAGCUCGUAGGCGGUUUGUCGCGUCUGUCGUGAAAGUCCGGGGCUUAACCCCGGAUCUGCGGUGGGUACGGGCAGACUAGAGUGCAGUAGGGGAGACUGGAAUUCCUGGUGUAGCGGUGGAAUGCGCAGAUAUCAGGAGGAACACCGAUGGCGAAGGCAGGUCUCUGGGCUGUAACUGACGCUGAGGAGCGAAAGCAUGGGGAGCGAACAGGAUUAGAUACCCUGGUAGUCCAUGCCGUAAACGUUGGGCACUAGGUGUGGGGACCAUUCCACGGUUUCCGCGCCGCAGCUAACGCAUUAAGUGCCCCGCCUGGGGAGUACGGCCGCAAGGCUAAAACUCAAAGGAAUUGACGGGGGCCCGCACAAGCGGCGGAGCAUGCGGAUUAAUUCGAUGCAACGCGAAGAACCUUACCAAGGCUUGACAUGUUCUCGAUCGCCGUAGAGAUACGGUUUCCCCUUUGGGGCGGGUUCACAGGUGGUGCAUGGUUGUCGUCAGCUCGUGUCGUGAGAUGUUGGGUUAAGUCCCGCAACGAGCGCAACCCUCGUUCCAUGUUGCCAGCACGUAAUGGUGGG
Molecule: ribosomal RNA, 1048 nt
Filed under: Micrococcus sp.
Lineage: Bacteria; Bacillati; Actinomycetota; Actinomycetes; Micrococcales; Micrococcaceae
Description: bacterial SSU rRNA
Rfam family: Bacterial small subunit ribosomal RNA
Source: RNAcentral